AGCUUUCAGGGGCGGGCUUGAUGAAACAGACUUGUCCUCCCUGCCUGCCUGUCUGGGCUGGGGCUAGUGUUUACAUCUGACUCUUUCUAUCCAUGGUAGCAUUGGGGGAAUCUUUGAAGAUCUCAGCCUUCCUUCUUCACCUUCUUGCAGCACCAUGUGAUCCACCGGCAAGGGAGGGCACCAAUGGAAGGCGUCCGAUAAGUAAACAUGGGAGAAAACAUCAUUCACCAAUAAUUUUUAGUAUUUUAGCACUAUUUUUGGAUAUUCAGCUAUGAAGAAUUCAAAUGAACAGGACAUCCAUCACUUGAGUGAGUCUUCAAGUGUCUUCCCCCUCUUCUGGGUCAGCUUGAUGAAGCAGCUGAGAAAAAGCAUGAACUGUGACUUCACUUCAGGGCAGCAACUCGAGCGAGUGUCCCCUGAGCGGGGUUCUGGACAGCUGAACAGACUUAGCUUGGGGAAGAAUAAAGCAAACCAUAAAAGCCCCUCCUGGACUGUCAUGGAUGAGAAUGUUGUCCACGGGCUCAGCUGGCCAUGCUGUUUGGGGAGCUGUGAGACCUUUAGGAUGUGAAACCCGGCUGAAGGAACUAGGCCCUGUGGGGAUGGCCUUGUGGUUUCUAGUCUGGCCCCAAUUUGUCCCAUCAUCUGCUGGUCCAACAAUGGGCCACUCCUGCUUAAGCUACCAUGAAUAACUGUACUUUAAACCAUCAGCUAAAAAUAAGCCCUUCUCCCUCUAACUUCCUUCUUGUUGGGUGUUUGAUUGCAGCAAUGAGAAGGUAACUUAGUUGGUCCAGAAGCACAGGUGACAACCUUCAACAUUCAGAUGUUGCUGGUGCUUAGAGAUAGUCUUUUACUCAAUGGUGGUCAAUAGAUGGAAACAUAAGUAGGAAAUAACCCAUGAAAACAAAUCCCUUUGCUCACCCUGUGCCAGGAAUGGAAGAAGAUUAAAAACAGCACAGUAGAAACCUUACUCUGCAGCAUCCACUAAGGAAGUAAGCCAUCC
RNAcentral lists this long non-coding RNA (1000 nucleotides) under Cricetulus griseus (Chinese hamster). RNAcentral describes it as "lncRNA (ENSCGRG00015030675.1)". The record is from RNAcentral. Lineage: Eukaryota; Metazoa; Chordata; Mammalia; Rodentia; Cricetidae.